RNAcentral lists this ribosomal RNA (445 nucleotides) under uncultured bacterium. RNAcentral's name for it is "partial 16S ribosomal RNA". It matches the Rfam family "Bacterial small subunit ribosomal RNA", at positions 354 to 796 of the family's 1533-position model. The record is from RNAcentral.
GUGAGGAAUAUUGGUCAAUGGGCGAGAGCCUGAACCAGCCAAGUCGCGUGAAGGAUGAAGGUUUUAUGAAUUGUAAACUUCUUUUGCAGGGGAAUAAAGUACGGUACGUGUACCGUUUUGUAUGUACUCUGCGAAUAAGGAUCGGCUAACUCCGUGCCAGCAGCCGCGGUAAUACGGAGGAUCCAAGCGUUAUCCGGAUUUAUUGGGUUUAAAGGGUGCGUAGGUGGAUUGAUAAGUCAGCGGUGAAAGUUUGCAGCUUAACUGUAAAAUUGCCGUUGAAACUGUCGGUCUUGAGUGCAAAUGAGGUAGGCGGAAUGUGUUGUGUAGCGGUGAAAUGCUUAGAUAUACGGAGGAACACCAGUGGCGAAGGCGGAUUACUGGACGAUAACUGACGCUGAGGCGCGAAAGCGUGGGGAGCAAACAGGAUUAGAAACCCCAGUAGUCC